Molecule: long non-coding RNA, 2453 nt
Organism: Chinchilla lanigera (long-tailed chinchilla)
Lineage: Eukaryota; Metazoa; Chordata; Mammalia; Rodentia; Chinchillidae
Exons: 2
Source: RefSeq, a predicted model, not a curated record
AACUGUCUUUAAUGAAAAAAUGAAGAUCCCAGGUUACCUUGUGUGGGUAACAUCCACUUAUUUUAUUUUUUGCUGCCACCGGGAUGGAAUCUUAGAGCCUCCCCGAGUUACAGGCCCAGCCCUAGAACACACGUUUCUGGACCUCGAAGAGAGGGGCUCGCGGAGUUCUGGCACUGGCUCCAAACUGGAAGCCCUCCUGUCUCGGCCUCCGGAGGCGCGGGAACUGCGGGUGUGCGUCCCCGAUGCGGGUUACCGCUCCCCGGCGUUCCCCCGAGGACCGGCUGCGGCUCCGCCCGGAGGAGGAAGGCUUGGGGCCCAGCGCGGGGCAGGCUGCACUCGGAGGCGCGCUCCGCGAAGCUUCCGGAACUGCGCCGCGGACGCGCCCCCUCUGGGCCCUCCCGCCGCCGGGACCCGCGGGGGCGAGCGUUGCCCCAAAUCUCGCGGUUCUUACAGGCAUCGCGAUGCUCCCGCUCCCGUCUGUUCAGUGUUGCUGGUUCUUAUGACAAAAGUUUAAAAGUCAGUGUUUAGAAGUAGGUUUGCCGACUCACAUAUACCAGGCCGGCUAUCGUAGUUAUGUGUUUCAAAAAAGUAGGGAAGAAAAGGGAUGUGUCAGAAGUGGGAUUCGAACCCACGCCUCCAUACGGAGACCAGAAUCCCCGAGCGCGGGAAGCGAAGCUUGAGUCUGGCGCCUUAGACCACUCGGCCAUCCUGACACUCGAUGAAUUGGUUGAGAUCCUGUUCUAAAGAGGGUUCUAGGACGGCGUCUGCGCGACGCGCGAUGAUGACGUCAGGCCCGCUUGGCAAUCGCGAGCCUGCGGCCACCUGUGAAACGUCGAGCACGUUGCGGCCGCUGAGAAGACUGGCGGAAACUGGAUGCGACCCCAAGGCAGGCAGCCGCGCGGGCGGAAGGAGGAAGGGGCGCCUGGCGGUCGCCCCGUGGCGGCCCCGCCUCCACCAGCCGAGGAGAAGCACCGGACUCAGCGAGCUCGGCCCGCGCCGCCGGGGUCGCCGCCUGCCAGCCCGCGCCCGACGGGGUUUUGCCGUGGUUCGGGAAGAAAGGAGUUUCUUUCUGUUCCUGGCUCGUUCCGGCCCCACCCUGAUUCCUCCUUUACGGCGUGUUACGCUGCGGCUGCCUGAUGUUGCUGUAACGGGCGCCACAUCUGUUUGGGAAUGAGCUGUAAUUCACGUGAGGUUGUUACUGUUGGCCAGCGGCGUUCAUGGUGUACGACGACGGCCCGGGCCGUCCUGUUUUUUUGUGAAAACGUCCACGAGGGCACUGAAAGGCCUGGCCGGGCGCUGAGGCGGUGGAGGCUGCCGCCCGGACACGCGAACUAGCCCACAGCAGCGCCUCGCCACGUUUCACAAGCAGGACCCGAUUCCCGUACGUGAGCCUCCAGCUUGACCGAUGCAGCCUGCGCCAAGGCGCCUCGCACGCAGGCGUGCGCACGCGCACCUUCGGUGGCCGCUGAACCGGACAGGCGCUGUGGAAGCUGCCCGCGCGACUGACUCAGAUGUCUGGGGAAGGAAGCAGGCGCGAAGGAGCCCUGCCCAGCCGGCUCCGUCAGUGGCCCGCAUCCUGACCGAACUCAAAGAUUGCUUUGAGUAAAUGCAGAAUUAUUUAGAGGUUCUUUCAACUCCAUUCAAAAUGGGCUUCUUAAAUUAAAAAUUUAUUAUUUUUUAAACGCGGCAGUAAAGUUUACUUGAAAAAGUAAAAGUGAAAGGUGAGCUAGCGCUGAGUAAGAGAAAAAGGGCCAGAUAAAGUGCACCCAGGACCCCGGGCGGCUCUGCUGAGGAAAGCUAGCCUUAAAUAUUUUAACAGCCGGAAGUCCCCCAUCCCACUCGAAGUAAUCAGUAACACACGCAGACCUCUGCCCUCCUCUCUCUGCUGCACACCCCACAGGGAACCGUGGUCUUUCUGCUAAUGUUGUAACAUGGGUAUCACAAGGAAAACGGUCUGCGGACUUUUCCUGUUGAGCACUGUUAAUCAGAUUUAUUGCUAAAGAUUCGUCCUCAUUCAAACGGAAAGCAGCUUUGCGGGUCUGACAGCCUUGCUGAUCUCAGCUGCAGCUGCGAUGGGUGUGAGGCAGCCCGUGGACAUCCCGGGGUGUCAGGAACCAAAGGUCCCUCCUGAGGGCGCACCUCCUUGCACAGGUGCUGCUGCGAGCAGGACUCCGAUGUCAGGACCGCACUGCCUGUUCUGCCCUCCCGGCAGGGGGCAGAAGCCGCACAUCUGUGGGCAGAACCGAGGGACAGGGUCGUGUGUCCAGCUCAGUUAAGAGUCCUGGCCAGCUGGUUCCUAGCUGUGCACCUGGGAUCAGUCUCCUACCCCGAUGCUUCAAGUCUACAUCUGUAAAAUCAAGGAAAUAGUGCUUCGUGAGGUUAUGAGCCCGAAAUAAGUUACAGUGAGUAAAAAGCUCUUCAUGCUGUGUGCCAAGCAUGGCUUUCUGUCAGCA